This 276-nucleotide ribosomal RNA is filed under the name uncultured prokaryote. RNAcentral describes it as "partial 16S ribosomal RNA". It matches the Rfam family "Bacterial small subunit ribosomal RNA", at positions 524 to 798 of the family's 1533-position model. The record is from RNAcentral.
UACGUAGGUGGCGAGCGUUGUCCGGAUUUACUGGGCGUAAAGGGAGCGUAGGCGGACUUUUAAGUGAGAUGUGAAAUACCCGGGCUCAACUUGGGUGCUGCAUUUCAAACUGGAAGUCUAGAGUGCAGGAGAGGAGAAUGGAAUUCCUAGUGUAGCGGUGAAAUGCGUAGAGAUUAGGAAGAACACCAGUGGCGAAGGCGGCUUCCUGGUCUGUAACUGACGCUGAGGCUCGAAAGCGUGGGGAGCAAACAGGAUUAGAUACCCGGGGUAGUCCCU